Molecule: ribosomal RNA, 492 nt
Filed under: uncultured bacterium
Lineage: Bacteria
Description: partial 16S ribosomal RNA
Rfam family: Bacterial small subunit ribosomal RNA
Source: RNAcentral
AGUGAACGCUGGCGGCAGGCCUAACACAUGCAAGUCGAACGGCAGCACAGUAAGAGCUUGCUCUUACGGGUGGCGAGCGGCGGACGGUUGCGGUAUACACCGGAAUCCACUUUUUCGCGGGGGAUAAUGCAGGGAAACUCACGCUAAUACCGCAUAUGACGUAUGUGUGAAAGCAGGGGAUCUUUGGACCUUGUGCUAUUGAAUGUGCCGAUGUCGGAUUAGCUAGAUGGGGUGGUAUAGGCUCACCAAGGCGACGAUCCGUAGCUGGUCUGAGCGCAUGAACCGCCACACUGGAACUGAGACACAGUACACACACCUACGGGGAGAAGCAGUGGGGAAUAUUACGCGAUGCACGAGUGCCUGAUCCAGCCAUACCGCGUAAAUGCUGAAGCCGCUCGGGUUGUAGAACGCUGUUGUUGUGAGAGAAGAACAGCUCUUUAAUACCCCACUGUACUGACGGUACCCGAAGAAUAAGCACCGGCUAACUUCGUG